RNAcentral lists this ribosomal RNA (484 nucleotides) under uncultured bacterium. Its description in RNAcentral is "partial 16S ribosomal RNA". It matches the Rfam family "Bacterial small subunit ribosomal RNA", at positions 30 to 507 of the family's 1533-position model. The record is from RNAcentral.
AGUGAACGCUGGCGGCAUGCUUUACACAUGCAAGUCGAACGGCAGCGCGGUCUUCGGCCUGGCGGCGAGGGGGGAACGGGUGAGUGAUGCAUGGGAACAUCCCCAUCUGUGGUUGAGUGUCCGUCGAAGACCGGAUUAAUACCGCAGAAGAGCAGACGGUGUACGCGGGGGAGCGAAAGACCUUGCGCUCUUGGGGGGGCGGAUGUGGGGUUGUCUAGUUGGUGGGGUAAAGGCCUACCAAGGCGACGAUCCGUAGCUGGUCUGAGAGGACGAGCAGCCACACUGGAACUGAGACACGGCCCAGACUCCUACGGGAGGCAGCAGUGGGGAAUUUUGGACAAUGGGGGCAACCCUGAUCCAGCCAUGCCGCGUGCGGGAAGAAGGCCUUCGGGUUGUAAAGCGCUUUUGUUCGGGAAGAAAUCCUCUGGGCUAAUACCCCGCGGGGAUGACGGUACCGGAAGAAUAAGCACCGGCUAACUACGUG